GAUGAACGCUGGCGGCGUGCCUAAUACAUGCAAGUCGAGCGAACAGACGAGGAGCUUGCUCCUCUGACGUUAGCGGCGGACGGGUGAGUAACACGUGGAUAACCUACCUAUAAGACUGGGAUAACUUCGGGAAACCGGAGCUAAUACCGGAUAAUAUAUUGAACCGCAUGGUUCAAUAGUGAAAGACGGUUUUGCUGUCACUUAUAGAUGGAUCCGCGCCGCAUUAGCUAGUUGGUAAGGUAACGGCUUACCAAGGCAACGAUGCGUAGCCGACCUGAGAGGGGGAUCGGCCACACUGGAACUGAGACACGGUCCAGACUCCUACGGGAGGCAGCAGUAGGGAAUCUUACGCAAUGGGCGAAAGCCUGACGGAGCAACGCCGCGUGAGUGAUGAAGGUCUUCGGAUCGUAAAACUCUGUUAUUAGGGAAGAACAAAUGUGUAAGUAACUAUGCACGUCUUGACGGUACCUAAUCAGAAAGCCACGGCUAACUACGUG
Molecule: ribosomal RNA, 497 nt
Filed under: uncultured bacterium
Lineage: Bacteria
Description: partial 16S ribosomal RNA
Rfam family: Bacterial small subunit ribosomal RNA
Source: RNAcentral